AACGAACGCUGGCGGCAUGCCUAACACAUGCAAGUCGAACGAGACCUUCGGGACUAGUUGCGCACGGGUGCGUAACGCGUGGGAAGCUUCCCUUAGGCUUGGAAUAACACCUCGUAAGGGGGGCUAAUACCGGGAAACUUCCUCUGAUCCAAGAUUCAACGUGCUUGGAUGGGCCGGCGUUGUUUUAGCCAGGUGGUAGUGUAAAAGCCUACCAAGGCGACGAUCGAUAGCGGGUAUGAGAGGAUGAGCAGCCACACUGAGACUGGGCCGCGGCCCGGACUACUACGGGAGGGAGCAGUGGCUAAUAUAGGAAAAUCGGCGGAAGGCUGAACCAGCUAUGGCGGGUAAGUCAUGAAGGCCUUAGGGUUAUAAAGCUCUUUUACCCGGCGUGAUACUGACAGUACCGAAAGAAUAAGCACCGGCUAACUCCGUG
Molecule: ribosomal RNA, 433 nt
Filed under: uncultured bacterium
Lineage: Bacteria
Description: partial 16S ribosomal RNA
Rfam family: Bacterial small subunit ribosomal RNA
Source: RNAcentral